CUUUCCUGUUUCUCAUCCAGGUGGGCAACAAUAUUUGAAGAACAUCAUCAGGUACUCUUUCUUUCUCUUCCAUAGGCAAUGUUCCACUUAAAUAGAGUUUUGACUUUGAUAAGAUUCACAUUAUUUCCUUACAAUUGAAGAUUUAUUUCAUUAAACCUUCUGAAUAAUUCUGAAAAAUAUGCAAUGCCAUGCCUAAUAUUCUUGAAUUGGUUAGAGAACGAAGCAUUCGAUUCAUCAAAGAAUAUUAUCACAUUUUCAAAAGGUGCAUAAGUGUCUCAGGCAGUUUUCUUUUGAAAACCAUCAGUUUUUUCAAGACAGUAAUAACCCCAUGGUAGCUUCCUAUUAUUUAUUUUGCCCAUCUAUUGCUCAAGCAAGAAUGUUGGUGAGCAGAGUAUCCUUUUCUUUGAAAAAUUGCUCAACAAUGCAAAAUAUUGACUCACCCUUCUUAAUUGUUUCUAGUCCCCUUGCAAAUAAAAACUCUUGAAUCUUUUUUUUCUUCUUUUAUGCAGUGAACAUAACCAAGAAGCAAAGUUUCUUUGCCUGUCAAAGUUGACUCAUCCACCUGCAGGGCAAUUGUUGUCUGAACAGGAUCUUGUUGGACAUUAAAAACUUAGAGCACUAAUGGCCUACCUCAUCAGCAAGUUGGUCGAUGGUAGAGAAAUUGAAGAACCGUGCUGCUGCCUGUGAGAUGUUGAUGCGUGAAGAAGAUUUCCAGCAUCUGCGAUAAAAAGAAUAACUGAAAAUGCUGGAGAAUAUCAGCAGUCAUGCAGCAUCUGCAUGGAAACACAAAAAAGAGAUGGAAGUAUGUCUUGAAAGUAUGUACCAUCAGGCUCAAAGACACCUUGUGAUGAAAUGAUCUAUCUGGAUGGCAUGCAAAACAAAGUUUUUCACUGAACCUUGAUCAAGGAUCCAAAAUGAGUGACAGACAAGUUCAAGAGGCUUUUGACAAGAUGCCACACAUGAAGCUGCUAAAUAAGCUCUCAUUCUUUGAUGCAUGUGCAGAUGAUGUGACGUUGCAUUAUGUGACACCUUGCAUACAGGUGGUCUUCGGGAAGUGCAGCCCCUCUCCUCCCCCAUAACUUGGG
This is a long non-coding RNA of Hypanus sabinus (Atlantic stingray), 1085 nucleotides long. RefSeq lists it as uncharacterized. NCBI's taxonomy places the organism in Eukaryota, Metazoa, Chordata, Chondrichthyes, Myliobatiformes, Dasyatidae. The transcript is spliced from 8 exons. The record is from RefSeq and is a predicted model, not a curated record.